RNAcentral lists this ribosomal RNA (428 nucleotides) under uncultured bacterium. Its description in RNAcentral is "partial 16S ribosomal RNA". It matches the Rfam family "Bacterial small subunit ribosomal RNA", at positions 354 to 796 of the family's 1533-position model. The record is from RNAcentral.
GUGGGGAAUAUUGGGCAAUGGGGGAAACCCUGGCCCAGCAACGCCGCGUGAAGGAAGAAGGCUUUCGGGUUGUAAACUUCUUUUACCAGGGAAAAACACAAUGAUGGUACCUGGAGAAAAAGCUACGGCUAACUACGUGCCAGCAGCCGCGGUAAUACGAAGGGGGCUAGCGUUGCUCGGAUUUACUGGGCGUAAAGGGCGCGUAGGCGGACAUUUAAGUCAGGGGUGAAAUCCCGGGGCUCAACCUCGGAACUGCCUUUGAAACUCCCAGUCUUGAGUUCGAGAGAGGUGAGUGGAAUUCCGAGUGUAGAGGUGAAAUUCGUAGAUAUUCGGAGGAACACCAGUGGCGAAGGCGGCUCACUGGCUCGAUACUGACGCUGAGGUGCGAAAGCGUGGGGAGCGAACAGGAUUAGAAACCCUUGUAGUCC